This 460-nucleotide ribosomal RNA is filed under the name uncultured bacterium. Its description in RNAcentral is "partial 16S ribosomal RNA". It matches the Rfam family "Bacterial small subunit ribosomal RNA", at positions 338 to 795 of the family's 1533-position model. The record is from RNAcentral.
CCUACGGGAGGCAGCAGUGAGGAAUAUUGGUCAAUGGACGCAAGUCUGAACCAGCCAUGCCGCGUGAAGGAUGAAGGUCCUAUGCAUUGUAAACUGCUUUUAUACGGGGGUAAUUAUAGAUACGUAUACCUGUAUGUAAUUACCGUAUGAAUAAGGAUCGGCUAACUCCUUGCCAGCAGCCGCGGUAAUACGGAGGAUCCGAGCGUUAUCCGGAUUUAUUGGGUUUAAAGGGUGCGUAGGCGGUCGGUUAAGUAAGAUGUGAAAGCUCGCUGCUCAACCUCGAAAAUGCCUUUGAUACUGGCUGACUAGAGUGCAGUUGAGGAAGGCGGAAUGCGUGGUGUAGCGGUGAAAUGCUUAGAUAUCACACAGAACACCGAUUGCGAAGGCAGCUUUCCAAGCUAUUACUGACGCUGAGGCACGAAAGCGUGGGUAGCAAACAGGAUUAGAUACCCGAGUAGUC